This 492-nucleotide ribosomal RNA is filed under the name uncultured bacterium. Its description in RNAcentral is "partial 16S ribosomal RNA". It matches the Rfam family "Bacterial small subunit ribosomal RNA", at positions 29 to 507 of the family's 1533-position model. The record is from RNAcentral.
AGUGAACGCUGGCGGUAGGCCUAACACAUGCAAGUCGAACGGCAGCACAGUAAGAGCUUGCUCUUACGGGUGGCGAGUGGCGGACGGGUGAGGAAUACAUCGGAAUCUACUUUUUCGUGGGGGAUAACGUAGGGAAACUUACGCUACUACCGCAUACGACCUACGGGUGAAAGCAGGGGAUCUUCGGACCUUGCGCGAUUGAAUGAGCCGAUGUCGGAUUAGCUAGUUGGCGGGGUAAAGGCCCACCAAGGCGACGAUCCGUAGCUGGUCUGAGAGGAUGAUCAGCCACACUGGAACUGAGACACGGUCCAGACUCCUACGGGAGGCAGCAGUAGGGAAUAUUGGACAAUGGGCGCAAGCCUGAUCCAGCCAUACCGCGUGGGUGAAGAAGGCCUUCGGGUUGUAAAGCCCUUUUGUUGGGAAAGAAAAGCAGCAGGUUAAUACCCCGCUGUUCUGACGGUACCCAAAGAAUAAGCACCGGCUAACUUCGUG